RNAcentral lists this ribosomal RNA (492 nucleotides) under uncultured bacterium. RNAcentral describes it as "partial 16S ribosomal RNA". It matches the Rfam family "Bacterial small subunit ribosomal RNA", at positions 29 to 507 of the family's 1533-position model. The record is from RNAcentral.
AGUGAACGCUGGCGGUAGGCCUAACACAUGCAAGUCGAACGGCAGCACAGUAAGAGCUUGCUCUUACGGGUGGCGAGUGGCGGACGGGUGAGGAAUACAUCGGAAUCUACUUUUUCGUGGGGGAUAACGUAGGGAAACUUACGCUAAUACCGCAUACGACCUACGGGUGAAAGCAGGGGAUCUUCGGACCUUGCGCGAUUGAAUGAGCCGAUGUCGGAUUAGCUAGUUGGCGGGGUAAAGGCCCACCAAGGCGACGAUCCGUAGCUGGUCUGAGAGGAUGUUCAGCCACACUGGAACUGAGACACGGUCCAGACUCCUACGGGAGGCAGCAGUGGGGAAUAUUGGACAAUGGGCGCAAGCCUGCUCCAGCCAUACCGCGUGGGUGAAGAAGGCCUUCGGGUUGUAAAGCCCUUUUGUUGGGAAAGAAAAGCAGCAGGUUAAUACCCCGCUGUUAUGACGGUACCCCAAGAAUAAGCACCGGCUAACUUCGUG